Leucoraja erinaceus (little skate) is the source of this 3067-nucleotide long non-coding RNA. RefSeq lists it as uncharacterized. NCBI's taxonomy places the organism in Eukaryota, Metazoa, Chordata, Chondrichthyes, Rajiformes, Rajidae. The transcript is spliced from 3 exons. The record is from RefSeq and is a predicted model, not a curated record.
UAACUGCUGCCUGCCCGCUGAGUUAAAGAGUUCCCACGGUAAGACGAUGUUAGUUGCGCCCAAGUUUAAAUUUCCAACGUGUGUUUCAGAGUAAAUCAAAAACUGUCUGAAUCAGCAAGUUAGACACAAAAUGCUGGAGUAACUCAGCGGGCCAAGCAGCAUCUCUGGAGAAAAGGAAUAGAUUCCAUUUUUGGUCGGGACCCUUCUUCGGGAUGAUUGUAGGGGGGAACUGGAAGCAAGAAAAGACCGGGACAAAUCAGGGCCAACAACAGAUGACCUCAGCAGGGUAUUUUGAAGAAGGGUCCCGACCCGAAAUGUCGCCUAACCCUUUCCUCCAGAGAUGCUGCCUGACCCACUGAAUCACUCCAGCACUUUAUGUCUAUAUUUGGUUCCCUGAUAGGCCAAUUGUUGGCUAGGGAUAGUGUGAUCCCAAAAGGGAACCAGCGUUGCAAACCUUGGACUGGUUAACCGACAAUUACUGCAUGGGGGAGCGGGGGCAGGAGGGGGUGGGCGUGGGAGAGAGAGAGAGUUUAAGUUACCUAAAAUUAAAUAAGUCAAUGUUCAUAGUGAACACGGACACAAAAUGUUGGUGUAACUCAGCAGGUAAGUCAGAUCUGGGAAGAAAAACAUAAAAAGCUGGAGUAAGUCAGCGUGUCAGGCAGCAUCUCUGGAGAAAAAGUAUAGGUGGCGAUUCGAAUCGGAACCCUUCUUCAGACAUCCUAAUCGGAAUUGAGUCUGAAGAUGUGUCUCGUCCCGAAACAUCACCUAUUUUUCUCCAGAGAUGCUGCUUGACUCGCUGAGUUACCCCAGCUUUUUAUGUUUUUCUUCGUUUUAAACCAGCAUGUGCAGUUCACUCCUUUACACGGGUCUCUGGAGAACAUUGAUUGGUAGCAUUCCGGACCCUGCUUCGGAAAGGCAUCGAUCGCUGAUUGGCGAGGACUCCGAGCUGUAUCUCUCAAAGAAGUACAUGUGAAAAAUUUCUCACGGACCAUAAAAAUGAGGGACCUUUCAGUAAAGUCCCUUUUAAAGAUUAUAGUUAUUUUCUUGAAUCUCUAACAUAACUCAUGAAUAAGUUGAUGUCCAUAUGAGGAUGCAAAUCUUUAUUUUUUAAAUUCCACAGAAGACAAUUUUUACUCACCUUCUGUCCCCUCUGUCCAGCUUCCGGGUUCACCGUUCGCAGGAGUUCCCACGAUACACGCAAGAGUCAGUACGGAUAUCGCACUCGCCACUACGUGCAUAUAAUGUUGCAAUGUUCAACCACAAGUGUACAAGUCACUCUUGGAGAAAUUCAAGCUUGUUUGAAUUUUCUCCCGAGUCACCAAGUUACACGAGUACCUGCCGUUAGCGCCACGGUGGUCCACGAAUGCCGUACGGUUAUCGUAAGAGGUUCCCACGAUGUUCAACUCUGGUUAACUCUUGCGUCAAGUCACCACGUGAAAAAGGGGUUUAACAGAGAACUAUGUUUACGUACAUUAUCUGUUGUGCUGAUGCCAGUCAGGAUUUCAUUGUUUCGUUUCAGGACAUAUGACAAUAAAACAUUCCUGAAUCUUGAAUUAAAAAAACUAUCAUUGGGUAAUGAUGAACCCAGUUCCUAAAGCCUUCAGCUUUGGCAUUUCCGCAUGGUUAGAAACCCAGAUUACACUCGUUUUUCCUCCAACUUCUCCUUAUUUCUAUUCCAGGCAAAAUGACAACCUAUGUAUAUGAUCAUCAAACAUCAACGCCAGAAGGUAAUGCAGCCAUUAUUAUCAUGUGAUUCCCAUUCAGAUUAAUAAGGACCUGAAUGGAAACAGAACCAGUUGGAAGUGACCAUUGAAUGGGUGAUUAGGGUGUGAUCAUGACCUGGUAAAAUCUCCUCUACCUCAUGUUAAAUCCAUACCAUUUUCAGGCAACUAACAGGUUAUUGCCUUUGAUUAUGGGAUGAGCAAUCCUUUGUAUGUCUAUUCUUAUCAAAUAUAACAGCAUCCACCCAUGUAACUCUAGAAUGCUGCCCAGAUUCAUUUUUUAGCACUGUCGCCAUUUAUUUUAAUUCCCAACUAUGUCCUGUAGAUUGGUUUAUGCAUGAGAACCAAUCAUAGUAGAAUAGGAUCACUAACCCCAUCCUACUGUACGAUUUAUACUAACACCCACUUCCUACACUGGUCAGUCUUGGAAACGGUCAUGAUGUUCUAACAACUAACAACCUGCUGUACUGCUAUAAUACGAAUACUGAUUAAAGAUGAUCUUGGACUUCAGAUUGUAUUCUUUGGCUAUAUACAUGUCCAAACAUCUGUCUAUCACUGCUUUGAAUGAACGCAUUGACUAAGCCUUUAUAGCCAGAUGUGUUCUCACCAUGCUCCUCAAUGACUACAAUCAAACAGCUUGGGUCUGAUCAAAUAUUCUCGUAGUAAACGUGAACUUACCAUCUGCCUUUAGCCACAACGACCUUCUGGAGGAAUUCAGCAGCACAGACAAGAUCUGAGGAGGGAAUUGAACUGUGAACGUUUCACAUUGGGAACCUUCUUGAUUUCCUGUUAUAUACCGAAGUGUACGACUCCACAUUUACCCACCACCCAUUGUGUGAAAACCUUGUGCCUCAGAAUUGUAGUAAAUCUUUCCCCUUUCACCGUAAAUCUAUGUCCUCUGGUUCUUGAUCCCCCUAUUCUGGGUAAAAGAGUCUGUGCAUCUCCUCUACCUAUCCCCUCGUGAUCUUUUACACCUUUAUCAGAUCACCCCUAUUCUUCUUUGCUCCAAGGAUUACAGUCCUGGCCUGCCUAACCUCUCACUAUAGCUCAGGCCCACAGGUCCUGGCACCAUCCUUGUUAAUAUUCUCAGCACCGUUUCCAGCUUAACACAUCGUUCCAAUAGCAGGGAAAGAUUUUACAAUAAUGGCAUGAAGUUUCCAAUUCAAUAUCCUGAGAACUGGUUCUAUGAACUGAGGGAAAAUUGAAUGAUAUUCUACUCCGCCUAUUCACACAAACUAAUGUCUUCCUUCCAGCACCAACAUCGACAACAACUUCAACAACAUCGACAACAACUCCGACUUCAACAACAGCAUCAACACUUGAGACAACUACUUCAACUUCAACUU